This is a long non-coding RNA of Haliotis rubra (blacklip abalone), 494 nucleotides long. RefSeq lists it as uncharacterized. The transcript is spliced from 2 exons. Lineage: Eukaryota; Metazoa; Mollusca; Gastropoda; Lepetellida; Haliotidae. The record is from RefSeq and is a predicted model, not a curated record.
AUCACUAUUUUAUUUUCCUGAAUCAAUUUUAGUUUAUUCUUUGCCUGUGACAGUACAUCAACCGAUAUCUUUCUAUGAUUCUACAUGCUCUAACCCGUCUAUUUAUUGUUUCAGGGGAAUUCGGGGAAUUUUCAUGGAGAGAGGAUUGACUGUGGACAGCAUGUUGGACACUCGGAUGUGUCGAACUUCAUCAGGACGCAUGACAUCCAAGGGGAGGAUAGACGGAUACUUCAGGGCUGCUACGAUCUUUUUGAAUCGAAGCCAGAUUUCGUUUGGCAAAAUUGCUCCAUCGAAGUCAUGUGCUCGUCAGUUGAGGUAAAGUUCGUGUCUGGAGAUCAAGGCAAUCGCUACCUCUUACGUUUUAAAGAUGGUGACAUUUGGACGGCGGCUCUGAGAGAAGAAAUACGCACAAAAAUCUUCAAUGUGUAUGAGUGGUUACGUAGACUCGUGCAGGGAGUUGGAGAAGCAGUUGCUGGAGCUAUCCAGCAAAAUCC